This 453-nucleotide long non-coding RNA is filed under the name Mytilus galloprovincialis (Mediterranean mussel). The record is from RNAcentral. Lineage: Eukaryota; Metazoa; Mollusca; Bivalvia; Mytilida; Mytilidae.
CAAGUUUCAUCAUGUAUAUAUAUAUAUUAAAAAAAAUCGACGUAUUUAAGUUGGCGUAACGAACAUGUACCUGCUUUUUGUGACAACCGUUAAGGAGUAUGCUGUCAUGCGUUUUCGAGAGAUUGACGGAUGAAAGUUUUUUUCCUGAAAGAUAUCACCAAUUACUCAACGCUGUGUAACUGUGAGGGAUAAAGAAAUGCACAAACGAGGCAACUUUCUAGUGAUCAAUACCUUAUUUAAGAUUUGGCGACAGUAACGAACAUUUCAAUUUGUUGAUUCCGUUACCGAAAAUUAAAAAAAAAAAUAAAAAAAUUCUGAUAACAUUUUUUAAUUAAAAGAGUGUUGGUCCACAUGGAUUAAAAAUAUACAGCAAAUAAAUCUGGAACUCAUACAGGAAUUCGUACACACACCGGCGACAGCACAUGCACCCUCUUAUUGAAAAUGCGUGUAAGU